Molecule: ribosomal RNA, 207 nt
Filed under: uncultured bacterium
Lineage: Bacteria
Description: partial 16S ribosomal RNA
Rfam family: Bacterial small subunit ribosomal RNA
Source: RNAcentral
CGUGUAGGCGGUUUAAUAAGUCAGAUGUAAAAGCCCCCGGCUCAGCCGGGGAUAGUCAUUUGAAACUGUUAGGCUUGAGUGCGAGAGAGGGUAGUGGAAUUCCCAGUGUAGCGGUGAAAUGCGUAGAUAUUGGGAAGAACACCAGUAGCGAAGGCGGCUACCUGGCUCGCAACUGACGCUAAGGCGCGAAAGCGUGGGGAGCAAACA